AGAGUUUGAUCAUGGCUANAUUGAACGCUGGCGGCAUGCUUUACACAUGCAAGUCGAACGGUAACAGGGUGCUUGCACCGCUGACGAGUGGCGAACGGGUGAGUAAUGCAUCGGAACGUACCCAGUCGUNGGGGGAUAACNGUAGCGAAAGUUACGCUAAUACCGCAUACGUCCUGAGGGAGAAAGCGGGGGACCGUAAGGCCUCGCGCGAUUGGAGCGGCCGAUGUCGGAUUAGCUAGUUGGUAGGGUAAAGGUCUACCAAGGCGACGAUCCGUAGCGGGUCUGAGAGGAUGAUCCGCCACACUGGGACUGAGACCGGCCCAGACUCCUACGGGAGGCAGCAUGUGGGGAAUUUUGGACAUGGGCCAAAGCUGAUCCAGCCAUGCCGCGUGAGUGAAGAAGGCCUUCGGGUUGUAAAUUCUUUAGCCGGAAGAGUCGCCCGGGAUACUCUCUGUGUGGAUAG
This 463-nucleotide ribosomal RNA is filed under the name uncultured bacterium. Its description in RNAcentral is "bacterial SSU rRNA". It matches the Rfam family "Bacterial small subunit ribosomal RNA", at positions 8 to 475 of the family's 1533-position model. The record is from RNAcentral.